Molecule: long non-coding RNA, 573 nt
Organism: Micropterus dolomieu (smallmouth bass)
Lineage: Eukaryota; Metazoa; Chordata; Actinopteri; Centrarchiformes; Centrarchidae
Exons: 3
Source: RefSeq, a predicted model, not a curated record
GCCGACACUGCAGGUGGACGAGGACAGUGUGACGAGCGGAGAGCAGCGGCUCACAUCAGGGAGCUUCCAUGGUGACAGCAUUAUUGUCUCUGAUGAGGACUGCACCCCAGAGCCAAGCACAGACCGGGACAGGACCAGGGUCGAGGCGAGGCAGAGGAAGGAGGGCUGCCGGGGUCCGAGGAAGAAGAGGCAGGACGGGGAGGACGAGGUGCAAGCCAAGGAGCACAUCUUCAAGGACCUGCGUCGAACUUCACCUCCAACAACAGCAUAUGAACAGGCCAGAAUCUGACGACUGUGGACAACAUCCAGACUACAGUGUUUCCAUGCACCACACAUGGCUGAUCUUCCAGACCCAGGAUAGAGUAACAGACAGUUCAGUCAGGCAGCAUACAGACAGUUUGUAGUGUGGCAGCGUGGAGCACUUGGUUACAGAGUCGUGAUACUAAGUUGCUGUUUCUGGAAGAUAUGCAACUGUUCUCCUGAUCCACCAGGACAAUACAGAGAUUUAAUCCUAGCAGGGUGUAAGAUGUAAUGUCACUAACUGCUACACGAAUAAUUCCCUCCACUGUGUGA